This 253-nucleotide ribosomal RNA is filed under the name uncultured bacterium. RNAcentral describes it as "partial 16S ribosomal RNA". It matches the Rfam family "Bacterial small subunit ribosomal RNA", at positions 524 to 776 of the family's 1533-position model. The record is from RNAcentral.
GACAGGAGGGGCAAGUGUUGAGCGUCUUGACUGGGCCUAAAGGGUGGGCGGGUGGAUUACAGAGUCUAAUUAGUGACACCCCGAUCUGCAUCGGGCAUCCUAGAAGAACCUGUAGUCUUAGAGUCAAAAUAAGGACCAGAGAAUAAUCCAAGGACCGGUAAAAUGGAUCAAUAUGGAUUGGAAUGCCAAUGGCGAAGGCACUGGUCUGAUUUUGCACUGACACUCAGCCACGGAAGCGUGGGGAGCAAAUAGG